AACGCACGAGACCUGCGGACCUGCGGAGUGAUCAUUAGUGAACGCCCUCACGGGCUUAUAACUAUUCCAAACCUCUGUGAACCGUGCCCUUCGGGGCUAUUUUACAAACAUGGUGUAAUGAACGUCAUAUAUCAUAACAAAACAAAACUUUUAACAAUGGAUCUCU
Molecule: unclassified non-coding RNA, 166 nt
Filed under: soil metagenome
Description: partial contains 5.8S ribosomal RNA, internal transcribed spacer 2, and large subunit ribosomal RNA
Source: RNAcentral